Molecule: non-coding RNA, 260 nt
Organism: Paramuricea clavata
Lineage: Eukaryota; Metazoa; Cnidaria; Anthozoa; Malacalcyonacea; Plexauridae
Source: the annotation of a GenBank genome assembly
CUUUUUCAGGUAGUUCAGACACAAACCACGACAGCUUAUUGUAAAAUACUACCUACACUGGACCACCACGUUUGAGAUAUCUUUUUCAGGUAGUUCAGACACAAACCACGACAGCUUAUUGUAAAAUACUACCUACACUGGACCACCACAUUUGAGAUAUCUUUUUCAGGUAGUUCAGACACAAACCACGACAGCUUAUUGUAGAAUACUACCUACACUGGACCACCACGUUUGAGAUAUCUUUUUCAGGUAGUUCACAC